AUUAUAUAGAAUUCAAUUGAAUUUUGCGUUUUGAGUUGUAUCAAACCAAACACGGUCAUUUAUUUCCAAAUAAAUUUUAACUACGAUUCAUUCCAAAUGAAUUCCACAUCUCUAUUUUAUUUGAACCAAAUGGGGUGUGAAUGUAAAGGUGCAGGAUGGACUUAACCUCUUCUAGUUGAUCCAAUAGAAAGUAACAUCAUGUGGCAAGAAGCAUUGUUAAAUUUUGUGUCUUCUUAUUCACUUCCUUAUGUCUUAACCUAUUUUGGCAUUGCAAAUUUAGGGUACCAUUGGAACCCUAUGCCUAGGUUGUUCUUACCUUCAUCUACGCUUGGCCAUAUCCAUAACUUCCAGCGAAGCCUUGAUUUACUGUUUUUGACCAGAAGGAUUGAGGAUUUUCAGUAAAAUAGUUGGGUUAAUUUCUUAUGAGAAUUCUAUGCAUUGAUCAAGGAAUUGCUUAGAAAGAUGGUUGUGUGGAAAAUACAAGAAUAAACCUUAACUCCUGAAACAAGAGUGCAUAGUAGGAAGGUGGAUGUGGGUGUAAGUUUUAAGGGAGGAUUAGCUCAGAUGGUUUUAUCAUGUCCAAUGUAGACAUUUGGAUGAGCUAGUGAUAUCUCACGUUGCAUGACAGUUUGUUCUAAAGCCAAAAGAACUUUACAUUGGGGUUUAUCACAAUCUAGAAAUUGGUGCGAGUUAUACUGUUGCCUAAUUAUUAUUAUUUUUUUUUGAAUAUUCUUUUAGCUUUCUUUCUGAGAGCCAAACUGCUAAAUUCAGCUAUGGAUAUUCAAGUUUUAAGGGUAAAAGGGCUUCAAUGGAGGAUUUCUAUGAGACCAGGAUAUCUGAAGUCAAUGGUCAAAUGGUUGCCUUCUUUGGUGUUUUUGAUGGUCAUGGAGGUGCCAGAACUGCUGCAUAUAUAAAAAACAACCCUUUCAGGAAGUUAAGUAUCCAUUCAUAGACUCUAAGCUUAAGGCACUGAAAGUCUCUAUCGAUCACCGGGAGUGUGAAGCAGAGCAUUGGGUCCUCAACCUUCAAAACUUGCUGUAAUUGAUCAGUUGAAGACUGAGAAGCACCUCUGGGCUGCUAGGAACGAGAGCAUUUGGAGACAAAAAUCCAGAAUCACAUGAAGCAAAUUGGGGGAUAAAAGCACUAAAUUCUUCCAUAUUCAAUGUUCGAGCAAAUGGAUGAAGAAUAGGAUUGUCAGAAUUGUUGAUAUAGGGCAUAGUUGUGCUGAUAUCUCUGCUACAAGGAGGAUUGUGGUGGAUCACUUUCGGUCGAGAUUCUUUGAGGACUUCUAAAUGUUGUGUCAAGCGUCAAACUUAAAAUACUCUACUCUCUCUCCAGCUGAGGCAUUGAGGAUUGAAGAACCUUUCUCAUAUGAUGAGGUAAAAGCAGUGGUUUGGGCCUGUGAUUCAUCUAAGGCAAUUGGACCUGAUGGCGCCAACUUUUGCUUCUACAAAAAUUCUUGGGAUCUAAUAAAGGAUGAUGUUGUUGCACUGGUUAAUGACUUCUAUUCCUCAUCAAGCCUCCCCCCAAUCAAAUUGUCAUUUCUGUCUUUGGUUCCUAAAUUUUCAGGUUCAUCGAAGGUCCAUGAUUAUAGAUCUAUCAGUUUAAUUCAUGGCCUCUACAAGAUCAUUGCAAUGCUUCUUGCUAAUAGAAUCAAAGGGCUGUUGCCAUCUGUGAUCAGUCCUCAACAAAAUGCCUUUGUUAAAGGGCGUCAAAUUCUUGACAGUUUCCUGGUUGCUAGUGAAAUAGUGGGUUACGCAAGAAGGCUAACAAAAGCUGCUUCCUAUUCAAAAUCGACUUUGAGAUCGCAUUGAUAUGGUCAGCUGGGAUCAUAUUGAAAGGGUAAUGGAGCAUAUGGGCUUUGGCAGGAAGUGGUGAUUGUGGAUAAAAUGCCUGUCUCUCCAACACUCGAUUCUCAAAUUUGAUUAAUGGGAGUCCCACUGAGGAAUACACCACGCGGAAUGGGCUGAGACAAGGUGAUCUCUUGUCUCCAUUUCUUUUUGUCGUUGCUACCGAAUCCCCAAGUUUGAUGAUUGAUAAGGCUUGCGAGCUGGGUUUGCUUCGAGGUGUGUCUGUUGGUUCUGGGGAAGUUAUCUCACAUCAAAAAUUCGCACAGGACACAUUAUUUUUCUGUCCCCCAAAUGCAGAGUUCGUUAUGACCAUCUCGAGAAUUAUGGGAUUAUUCACCCUAAUGUCUGGGCUGAAAGUUAACUUCCAUAAGAGCGCCCUCUUUGGCAUAAACGUGGAGGAAUCCUUGCUUAAGAAGGCUGCUGUUUCAGCUUGUUGCAAAACAGGGAAUUUACCCACACGCUGCAUUGGCCUCCCUUUAGGAGCAAGUACAAAGUUCUUUUUCUACCUGGUUGCCUGUAAUUCUGGAAAUAGAGGGAACGGACCUUUUGGUCACCUCAUUGGCUAUCAAAGCCUGGUCUAACCCAAGCAAAUAGAAGCCUACCAUCUCCUAGACUCCCCCACCUGUUAAUUGCUAUAAGUGGACUGUUGAUGGUUCUUCAAUGGGUAAACCAGGGGGUAGGAGCAAUUGGAGGGAUGCUUCAUGAUUCAUGUGGAGUUUUUGUUUGUCUCUUGUCUUGUCGAGCAGGGAUCGUGGAUUCAAACACUGCAGAGUUGAUGGCUAUACACAAAGCAAUAGAGCUGUGUUUCUCUUUGCCCACUAUUUGCUUUUCUGCUCUUAAAAUAUACAUUGAAUCUUAUUCAAAAUUUGCACUUUCAUGGGUUAAGCAUCCAGAAUCGGCACCCUGGCACCUCUCAUCUGUAAUCAAUUCAAUGUAUAAGAACAUUAAGGCUCUCCCACCAGUUGUUCUUCAUCAUACUCUUGGGGAAGGAAACCCUGCUGCUGAUUCUCUUGCAAAGCACGGCUUGUCUAAGCUUGAGGAUUUGGUAGCUUUCAUGUGAUUUGGGCUAAGCUAGAAAUGCUGCCUUGAACUGAUCAAUCUAAUGGUAGCAGAUGUUUGUGGCAUUUCCCCUGGGUUUAUCAGCUUUGGGUUCUUAAUUUCUCUCUUUGUUUGUUGCUUUCAUUAGUGUCGUUUGCUUCCUCACUUCUGUAGUUGUUGGUCUAUUAGCUUGGUGCUCUGUUUUAUUUGUACUUGCAGUUAUUCUCUUUUUGAAUUUGUGCAGCAGGUUGCUGCUGGGCUUGGUUUGUUGUGUUGCUUCUGUUCUGCUGUUGGCAAUGUUUUCUCUUGGUGUUUUGUAAUUCUCUUGUCAGGUUUUUUUCACUUGGCAUGUUUCUCUCUAGGUUGGUUUUCGAGGGGAGACUUAUCAGUCGGAGUUUAGUUUGAGGGUUUAGUGCUAAGCUUUUC
This 3314-nucleotide unclassified non-coding RNA is filed under the name Hevea brasiliensis (rubber tree). Lineage: Eukaryota; Viridiplantae; Streptophyta; Magnoliopsida; Malpighiales; Euphorbiaceae. The record is from RNAcentral.